GGAGGGUGCGAGCGUUGUCCGGAAUCACUCGGCGUAAAGGGCGCGUAGGUGGCCCGUUAAGUGGCUGGUGAAAUCCCGGGGCUCAACUCCGGGGCUGCCGGUCAGACUGGCGAGAUAGAGCACGGUAGGGGCAGAUGGAAUUCCCGGUGUAGCGGUGGAAUGCGUAGAUAUCGGGAAGAAUACCAGUGGCGAAGGCGUUCUGCUGGGCCGUUGCUGACACUGAGGCGCGACAGCGUGGGGAGCAAACAGGAUUAGAUACCCUGGUAGUCCACGCCGUAAACGAUGGACACUAGGCGUCGGGGGGAGCGACCCUCCCGGUGCCGUCGCUAACGCAGUAAGUGUCCCGCCUGGGGAGUACGGCCGCAAGGCUG
Molecule: ribosomal RNA, 371 nt
Filed under: uncultured bacterium
Lineage: Bacteria
Description: bacterial SSU rRNA
Rfam family: Bacterial small subunit ribosomal RNA
Source: RNAcentral